This 468-nucleotide ribosomal RNA is filed under the name uncultured bacterium. RNAcentral's name for it is "partial 16S ribosomal RNA". It matches the Rfam family "Bacterial small subunit ribosomal RNA", at positions 28 to 507 of the family's 1533-position model. The record is from RNAcentral.
GACGAACGCUGGCGGCGUGCUUAACACAUGCAAGUCGAACGGAAAGGCCCUGCUUUUGUGGGGUGCUCGAGUGGCGAACGGGUGAGUAACACGUGAGUAACCUGCCCUUGACUUUGGGAUAACUUCAGGAAACUGGGGCUAAUACCGGAUAGGAGCUCCUGCUGCAUGGUGGGGGUUGGAAAGUUUCGGCGGUUGGGGAUGGACUCGCAGCUUAUCAGCUUGUUGGUGGGGUAGUGGCUUACCAAGGCUUUGACGGGUAGCCGGCCUGAGAGGGUGACCGGCCACAUUGGGACUGAGAUACGGCCCAGACUCCUACGGGAGGCAGCAGUGGGGAAUAUUGCACAAUGGGCGGAAGCCUGAUGCAGCAACGCCGCGUGCGGGAUGACGGCCUUCGGGUUGUAAACCGCUUUCGCCUGCGACGAAGCGUGAGUGACGGUAAUGGGUAAAGAAGCACCGGCUAACUACGUG